This 2612-nucleotide unclassified non-coding RNA is filed under the name Neodiprion pinetum (white pine sawfly). Its description in RNAcentral is "nicastrin, transcript variant X4". The record is from RNAcentral. Lineage: Eukaryota; Metazoa; Arthropoda; Insecta; Hymenoptera; Diprionidae.
GGAAACCAACGUUUCUAGGGACUUUUCGUGGUUCGUGAUUGCAUCUUGUUAUGUGCAAAAAUCAGGCAAAAAUGCUAUUCACAUCAAUAUCGUUCACUAUUUGCCGCUGUACGGAUCCCCUUUUUUUGUAAUAGGAUCACGGAAUAUUCAGCACGAUCCGUAAAUUACCGAAAUUAAUCAGCCAAAGUGCUAAUAAAUAUUCACACUACAGUGCUUCUACGUCAAGCAGUACUCAUUAAUUCAACACAGACGAUAUUCAGGAAAACCAAAAAUAAAAAGGAAAAAUGGCAGCGCCUAUAUCCCGAGGAUGCAUUCUAUUAUUUAUUCUCAUAAAUGCCGCUUGCACUGAGAGGAUCAAAGACAUGAUAUACAAGCCUUUAGAAGGUGUUGCAGCUUGUUUUCGUCGCCACAAUGGUACUAACCAAUUUGGUUGUUCAUCAAGUCGAUCAGGCAGUGUCGGCGUUAUUCAUAUAAUCGAGGAUGAGGCCGAGCUCGUGUGGUUGGAAAAAAAUGGCAAUGCUGGACCAUAUACAGCUGUUGUACCAUUUUCAAUGUUCACCAGAGAUACUUUAAUUCGGUUACGGAACACAGAAAAUAUAAAUGGAAUUCUGCUGACAUAUAAUUCUAGUAUAGAACGACCCUCACAUUACUCCCCCGAUGACACCUGUCCCAAUAGAUACGCAGGAUUCAAACAGUGCGAUACCGAGAAACCUUGGAAUCCCUGGGGAUCUGCAUUGCUCAUGGAAGACUGGCCAUUCCCAAUGUUUUAUUUAAAGAAUCAAAGUCAAUUGAAUGAUGUCAAGACUUGUUUCACUACCUUCAAUGCCCAUGAUCGUGAUAGCCAAAGCCAACGAUCACUCUGUGCCUUGGAAAUGAAAUCAUUUAUGUUCUCUGCUGUGGAUUCGGAAACUUGUAUACGACGAAGCAUUCCAAGAUUGAACUUUAAUCCACCGCUAUACUGUGACCCUCUGGGUGACAGAAAUAUAUAUUGGCCAUUAGCAGCACUGGACAAUCAAACAGAAUCUGUGAUCCUUGUAACAGCACGCUUGGAUGCUUCAACUCUAUUUGACACACUGGCACCAGGCGCUAAUAGCGCAAUCACAGGAUUAGUUACACUCAUCGCUACGGCACACUAUUUGCAUAAUAUGAAUCCAACGGUCGGAAAAACGAACGUUGUAUUUUCACUGUUCAAUGGUGAAGCGUUUGACUACAUAGGGUCUAGUCGAUUUGUGUUCGACUUAAAAAACGGCAGUUUCCAUUCAUUGGGAGAGAAAACUUUAAUGUUUGAUCAAAUUCGCACAGUUGUUGAGCUAGGCCAGCUUGGGGAAGGAGAUAUCUAUCUGCAUUCCAGCAAUUAUGAAAACGAUUCACUAAUAACUGCAUUGAUCCCCAAGUUAUCUGCAAAAGUUUUAAAAGACAGCGUACCACCUGCGUCAAUCCAAAGUUUCCUGGCUGAAAGCUCUACUAUUAGUGCAACAGUAAUUGCAAGCCAUGGGGUAAAUUUUACAAACAAGUAUUAUCACAGUAUUCUGGAUGAUGCAGAAAGUGUCAAUUUCACGAGCUCUGAAUCUGGUCUUGCUAAAAGCCUAGAUAAAAUUGCACUAGAGCUUGCUAAUCAGUUAUUUAUCAUUGUUACUGGGACAAAUACAUCUAGUAAUGGUUCUGGAAAUAUCGAGAACCUCAUUUCAAAAAUGCUUUCUUGUUACCUGGAAAGCGCUAACUGUUCUUUAUUCAAGUCAGCUUCUGCUCCUGGUCACCAAUUGCCGGAUCAAGUCCUGCCACUGUAUGUUGGCGUUAACAGAUCGCUAAAUUAUGUGACAACUUAUACUGGACAGCUGUUGGCCUUAUUGACAGGUACAACACUGGCUGAAUAUAAUUCCAGUAUGUGCUAUGAAAACCAAUCCCUUUGGAUGGCAGGGCUUAAUUUCCAAGGGACGUGCAUCAGAUCCGCAGUCAAUUACAGCUUUGCAACAAGCCCAGCUUUCCUAAUAGAUGGAUAUGAUAUGAAAUCCGGAUAUUAUUCUACAUGGACAGAAUCCGUGUGGCAGGUACUAAGCAUGAAGAUGUUUCUGAAGCCCUCUGUGGCAGCAGAACGUUUGAACGUGAUCCUUGGAAGUUUAGUUGCAAUUGCUUCGUUUAUCAUAGUCUGGUUUAUCCAGUUCCGUGCUGAUCUUCUUUUCAAUCAGAUAUCAUAUGAUGGGGUGAGAACACUUUGAAAUUUUAUGAUUUGAAAAAUGUUUACCCGUCAAUAUAACUGGACAGGGAACCAAACACAUCAUCAAUCUUCUUCAACUAUCAAUUGUUUGGUGCAGCUGGAUUAUUUUCUCAACCAUUCUCUGCUUCUGUGAGCGAGCAACCAGUAAACUAAGUGUUCAAGAAUGUACACAACUUGAAACAAAAAGAAGACUGCUGAUAAUAACUUCAUGUAACGAAAAAAAGUUAUGCACACUCGCAUAAAUGUCUACGCAGUGUUAUUGUUACAAUUAUUUGCCGUAAUAAUAGAAACGCAUGUAACACUCUCAAGACAUGGAGAUAAUGACAGACAAGUGAAAUUAAGAAAACACGUUUGGCAGUACAUAUGUGUGAUUUAUAAUAAAAUGAAUUCUGUAAAA